RNAcentral lists this unclassified non-coding RNA (374 nucleotides) under Hevea brasiliensis (rubber tree). Lineage: Eukaryota; Viridiplantae; Streptophyta; Magnoliopsida; Malpighiales; Euphorbiaceae. The record is from RNAcentral.
CUUGCACGCUAGUACCUUUGCUUUCCUUUCCUUUCCCACUCACUUGCUCCCUGGUGGUUGCCACCAUCUUCUCUUAACUACAUCUCACCCACUUUUUUCCCACACAACAAUGAUACCCACCGCCACCACCACCACCACCACUACCAUUAACCCAAUUUCCCUUUCUCUGACCUUCUCCUCUCCUCUUCUUAUCAUCCAUCCACCACCCAAUUCCCAAUCCACCUUCCUUCGCCAUGUCAACCCCUACUGAUUCCAUUCCCAGGCGGGUUCCUCCGCCGUGCUGGACCCAAGAAGAAACUAUUGCUCUAAUUGAAGCAUAUCGUGAUAAAUGGUACUCUGUUAACCGCGGCAACCUCCGCGCUGCCGACUGGGAC